Molecule: transfer RNA, 73 nt
Filed under: Ovis aries (sheep)
Lineage: Eukaryota; Metazoa; Chordata; Mammalia; Artiodactyla; Bovidae
Rfam family: tRNA
About the family: Transfer RNA (tRNA) molecules are approximately 80 nucleotides in length. Their secondary structure includes four short double-helical elements and three loops (D, anti-codon, and T loops).
Source: Rfam by way of RNAcentral
UCCUCAUUAGUUAUAGUGGUGAGCAUCCCUGCCUGUCAUGCAGGAGACCUGGGUUCUUUUCCCUGAUGGGGAG